Molecule: ribosomal RNA, 2899 nt
Filed under: Klebsiella pneumoniae
Lineage: Bacteria; Pseudomonadati; Pseudomonadota; Gammaproteobacteria; Enterobacterales; Enterobacteriaceae
Also listed under: 1 other name
Description: bacterial LSU rRNA
Rfam family: Bacterial large subunit ribosomal RNA
Source: RNAcentral
UUAAGCGACUAAGCGUACACGGUGGAUGCCCUGGCAGUCAGAGGCGAUGAAGGACGUGCUAAUCUGCGAAAAGCGUCGGUAAGGUGAUAUGAACCGUUAUAACCGGCGAUGUCCGAAUGGGGAAACCCAGUGCAAUUCGUUGCACUAUCGUUAACUGAAUACAUAGGUUAACGAGGCGAACCGGGGGAACUGAAACAUCUAAGUACCCCGAGGAAAAGAAAUCAACCGAGAUUCCCCCAGUAGCGGCGAGCGAACGGGGAGCAGCCCAGAGUCUGAAUCAGCUUGUGUGUUAGUGGAACGGUCUGGAAAGUCCGACGGUACAGGGUGAUAGUCCCGUACACCAAAAUGCACAGGUUGUGAACUCGAAGAGUAGGGCGGGACACGUGGUAUCCUGUCUGAAUAUGGGGGGACCAUCCUCCAAGGCUAAAUACUCCUGACUGACCGAUAGUGAACCAGUACCGUGAGGGAAAGGCGAAAAGAACCCCGGCGAGGGGAGUGAAAAAGAACCUGAAACCGUGUACGUACAAGCAGUGGGAGCACCUUCGGGUGUGACUGCGUACCUUUUGUAUAAUGGGUCAGCGACUUAUAUUCUGUAGCAAGGUUAACCGUAUAGGGGAGCCGCAGGGAAACCGAGUCUUAACUGGGCGUUAAGUUGCAGGGUAUAGACCCGAAACCCGGUGAUCUAGCCAUGGGCAGGUUGAAGGUUGGGUAACACUAACUGGAGGACCGAACCGACUAAUGUUGAAAAAUUAGCGGAUGACUUGUGGCUGGGGGUGAAAGGCCAAUCAAACCGGGAGAUAGCUGGUUCUCCCCGAAAGCUAUUUAGGUAGCGCCUCGUGAACUCAUCUUCGGGGGUAGAGCACUGUUUCGGCUAGGGGGUCAUCCCGACUUACCAACCCGAUGCAAACUACGAAUACCGAAGAAUGUUAUCACGGGAGACACACGGCGGGUGCUAACGUCCGUCGUGAAGAGGGAAACAACCCAGACCGCCAGCUAAGGUCCCAAAGUCAUGGUUAAGUGGGAAACGAUGUGGGAAGGCACAGACAGCCAGGAUGUUGGCUUAGAAGCAGCCAUCAUUUAAAGAAAGCGUAAUAGCUCACUGGUCGAGUCGGCCUGCGCGGAAGAUGUAACGGGGCUAAACCAUGCACCGAAGCUGCGGCAGCGACACUAUGUGUUGUUGGGUAGGGGAGCGUUCUGUAAGCCUGCGAAGGUGACCUGUGAGGGUUGCUGGAGGUAUCAGAAGUGCGAAUGCUGACAUAAGUAACGAUAAAGCGGGUGAAAAGCCCGCUCGCCGGAAGACCAAGGGUUCCUGUCCAACGUUAAUCGGGGCAGGGUGAGUCGACCCCUAAGGCGAGGCCGAAAGGCGUAGUCGAUGGGAAACAGGUUAAUAUUCCUGUACUUGGUGUUACUGCGAAGGGGGGACGGAGAAGGCUAUGUUAGCCGGGCGACGGUUGUCCCGGUUUAAGCAUGUAGGCUGGUUAUCCAGGCAAAUCCGGAUAAUCAAGGCUGAGGUGUGAUGACGAGGUACUACGGUGCUGAAGUAACAAAUGCCCUGCUUCCAGGAAAAGCCUCUAAGCAUCAGGUAACAUCAAAUCGUACCCCAAACCGACACAGGUGGUCAGGUAGAGAAUACCAAGGCGCUUGAGAGAACUCGGGUGAAGGAACUAGGCAAAAUGGUGCCGUAACUUCGGGAGAAGGCACGCUGGUGUGUAGGUGAAGUCCCUGCGGAUGGAGCUGAGACCAGUCGAAGAUACCAGCUGGCUGCAACUGUUUAUUAAAAACACAGCACUGUGCAAACACGAAAGUGGACGUAUACGGUGUGACGCCUGCCCGGUGCCGGAAGGUUAAUUGAUGGGGUUAUCCGUAAGGAGAAGCUCUUGAUCGAAGCCCCGGUAAACGGCGGCCGUAACUAUAACGGUCCUAAGGUAGCGAAAUUCCUUGUCGGGUAAGUUCCGACCUGCACGAAUGGCGUAAUGAUGGCCAGGCUGUCUCCACCCGAGACUCAGUGAAAUUGAACUCGCUGUGAAGAUGCAGUGUACCCGCGGCAAGACGGAAAGACCCCGUGAACCUUUACUAUAGCUUGACACUGAACAUUGAGCCUUGAUGUGUAGGAUAGGUGGGAGGCUUUGAAGCGUGGACGCCAGUCUGCGUGGAGCCAACCUUGAAAUACCACCCUUUAAUGUUUGAUGUUCUAACGUGGGCCCCUAAUCGGGGUUGCGGACAGUGUCUGGUGGGUAGUUUGACUGGGGCGGUCUCCUCCCAAAGCGUAACGGAGGAGCACGAAGGUUAGCUAAUCCUGGUCGGACAUCAGGAGGUUAGUGCAAUGGCAUAAGCUAGCUUGACUGCGAGCGUGACGGCGCGAGCAGGUGCGAAAGCAGGUCAUAGUGAUCCGGUGGUUCUGAAUGGAAGGGCCAUCGCUCAACGGAUAAAAGGUACUCCGGGGAUAACAGGCUGAUACCGCCCAAGAGUUCAUAUCGACGGCGGUGUUUGGCACCUCGAUGUCGGCUCAUCACAUCCUGGGGCUGAAGUAGGUCCCAAGGGUAUGGCUGUUCGCCAUUUAAAGUGGUACGCGAGCUGGGUUUAGAACGUCGUGAGACAGUUCGGUCCCUAUCUGCCGUGGGCGCUGGAGAAUUGAGGGGGGCUGCUCCUAGUACGAGAGGACCGGAGUGGACGCAUCACUGGUGUUCGGGUUGUCAUGCCAAUGGCACUGCCCGGUAGCUAAAUGCGGAAGAGAUAAGUGCUGAAAGCAUCUAAGCACGAAACUUGCCCCGAGAUGAGUUCUCCCUGAGACUUUAAGUCUCCUGAAGGAACGUUGAAGACGACGACGUUGAUAGGCCGAGUGUGUAAGCGCAGCGAUGCGUUGAGCUAACCGGUACUAAUGAACCGUGAGGCUUAACCU